CCUUUAACAUGGAGGUGCUUGCU
This 23-nucleotide microRNA is filed under the name Ornithorhynchus anatinus (platypus). Its description in RNAcentral is "Oan-Mir-430-P4_5p* (star (passenger))". The record is from RNAcentral. Lineage: Eukaryota; Metazoa; Chordata; Mammalia; Monotremata; Ornithorhynchidae.